UGGAAGCGGUGCUCCUGGAAAAGAAAACUUUU
This 32-nucleotide non-coding RNA is filed under the name Mus musculus (house mouse). The record is from RNAcentral. Lineage: Eukaryota; Metazoa; Chordata; Mammalia; Rodentia; Muridae.